AUUGAACGCUGGCGGCAUGCCUUACACAUGCAAGUCGAACGGUAACAGGUCCUCGGAUGCUGACGAGUGGCGAACGGGUGAGUAAUACAUCGGAACGUGCCCGAUCGUGGGGGAUAACGAAGCGAAAGCUUUGCUAAUACCGCAUACGAUCUACGGAUGAAAGCAGGGGACCGCAAGGCCUUGCGCGAACGGAGCGGCCGAUGGCAGAUUAGGUAGUUGGUGGGAUAAAAGCUUACCAAGCCGACGAUCUGUAGCUGGUCUGAGAGGACGACCAGCCACACUGGGACUGAGACACGGCCCAGACUCCUACGGGAGGCAGCAGUGGGGAAUUUUGGACAAUGGGCGAAAGCCUGAUCCAGCCAUGCCGCGUGCAGGAUGAAGGCCUUCGGGUUGUAAACUGCUUUUGUACGGAACGAAAAGACUCUGGUUAAUACCUGGGGUUCAUGACGGUACCGUAAGAAUAAGCACCGGCUAACUACGUGCCAGCCGCCGCGGUAA
RNAcentral lists this ribosomal RNA (498 nucleotides) under uncultured bacterium. RNAcentral's name for it is "partial 16S ribosomal RNA". It matches the Rfam family "Bacterial small subunit ribosomal RNA", at positions 30 to 523 of the family's 1533-position model. The record is from RNAcentral.